CAGUAGCCGCGGUAAAACGUAGGGUGCAAGCGUUAAUCGGAAUUACUGGGCGUAAAGCGUGCGCAGGCGGUUAUAUAAGACAGAUGUGAAAUCCCCGGGCUCAACCUGGGAACUGCAUUUGUGACUGUAUAGCUAGAGUACGGCAGAGGGGGAUGGAAUUCCGCGUGUAGCAGUGAAAUGCGUAGAUAUGCGGAGGAACACCGAUGGCGAAGGCAAUCCCCUGGGCCUGUACUGACGCUCAUGCACGAAAGCGUGGGGAGCAAACAGGAUUAGAUACCCCUGUAGUCCCUGUCCUUAUACA
Molecule: ribosomal RNA, 301 nt
Filed under: uncultured bacterium
Lineage: Bacteria
Description: partial 16S ribosomal RNA
Rfam family: Bacterial small subunit ribosomal RNA
Source: RNAcentral